RNAcentral lists this long non-coding RNA (1120 nucleotides) under Eptatretus burgeri (inshore hagfish). Its description in RNAcentral is "lncRNA (ENSEBUG00000017190.1)". Lineage: Eukaryota; Metazoa; Chordata; Myxini; Myxiniformes; Myxinidae. The record is from RNAcentral.
CUCCGACCUUCACAUCUCCACUUCCCUUUUCGUGUCCGAUCCCUUCCGUUAUAAGAGUAGGUUUUAUUCGUUUUUUUCAAAUUUUAACGAUCUCCGUGACCCACCUCCCUCGUGCGUACGUAAUAAGUAGACGGUCCAUAAAACGAGUUUGACGACACUGGCCAUCUGUUAAAAUAUCAUAUUGUUCAAAGGAAGCAAGUUUAAAACGUACAGAUUUUGACGUCAUCGAGAUUCGUCCGUGUUUCCCGCUGGUUGACUCACUGUUGAUCGGGUCGCCAUGGCGACGUGACGCCGCUCCCAGGAACAGUUCGCAGAAGUGGACCCGUCCUGCACUCCCGCCGACCGGUGUUCCCAGGCUCGGUACUCCGAGUGUGACCUUGCACACUCGUGCGAUGCGAACACUCAAAGGUCCACUCGCUCGUGGACCAUGACCACGAUGCUCCUCAUGCUGCUCCUCCUGUUGCCGUUCCGGGUAAACUCGAUACCUCGAGCGAUCUACCAGGACGGACCUGGAAACGUCCCUCUUCCGAAAACGAUGGACGCCGUCGUGGACGUCCAGGUACAAGACACGACCGGCGAUGGAGUGUCCCACGAUCACGUUGACGACGACCCUGUUCCUGCACACUCGGAAUUGCACUCAAGCUCGAAUCUCUAUCAUAAACUCUCCGAGCUACACAGUUUACUGCAACGUCACAGCACGGACAAGGACACGGACACGGACAAGGUCACGGACACGGAGCACAAUGCCCCCCCUCAUGCGGAAAGGAGAAUCGGCGAUGGCGAGAGCUGGUUGAAGGAAGUUCCAAAUAUCAUGAUCAUCAGCAUGAUCGUGUUACAAGCGGUCUCCACCUUGGGUUUCUUCUGCUUCGUCUUGAUGUUUUGCUAUUUGAAGAGGAAAGAAACAAGAUGCAGGUGCUCCCGAACCUCCGUCGAAGUGGCUGACGACAAAUGGAAGAACAGCUCCAGCUCCUCCACCGACUCACCGGAUCCAUUCCCGUUGCUGAGAAAGGUCUACUUUGACCAGAUGGACCGUCAUGAUCAUCAGGAAAUAUUUGGAGAUAUGUUCAACCAGAACACCUCACAACUGCCAAAGAAAUGUGACAAAUCGACACAGUAUUGA